AGAGUUUGAUCCUGGCUCAGAUUGAACGCUGGCGGCAUGCCUUACACAUGCAAGUCGAACGCGAAAGGGGGCAACCCCGAGUAGAGUGGCGAACGGGUGAGUAAUACAUCGGAACAUGUCCUGUAGUGGGGGAUAGCUCGGCGAAAGCCGGAUUAAUACCGCACACGAUCUACGGAUGAAAGCGGGGGACCGCAAGGCCUCGCGCUAUUGGAGUGGCCGAUGUCGGAUUAGCUAGUUGGCGGGGUAAAGGCCCACCAAGGCGACGAUCCGUAGCUGGUUUGAGAGAACGACCAGCCACACUGGGACUGAGACACGGCCCAGACUCCUACGGGAGGCAGCAGUGGGGAAUUUUGGACAAUGGGCGCAAGCCUGAUCCAGCCAUGCCGCGUGAGUGAAGAAGGCCUUCGGGUUGUAAAGCUCUUUCGGCCGGGACGAAAUCGCAUCUUCUAACACAGGGUGUGGAUGACGGUACCGGAAGAAGAAGGACCGGCUAACUACGUGCCAGCAGCCGCGGUAAUACGUAGGGUCCGAGCGUUAAUCGGAAUUACUGGGCGUAAAGCGUGCGCA
Molecule: ribosomal RNA, 567 nt
Filed under: uncultured bacterium
Lineage: Bacteria
Description: bacterial SSU rRNA
Rfam family: Bacterial small subunit ribosomal RNA
Source: RNAcentral